GACGAACGCUGGCGGCGUGCCUAACACAUGCAAGUCGAACGGACAGGCCCUGCUUUUGUGGGGUGCUCGAGUGGCGAACGGGUGAGUAACACGUGUGUAACCUGCCCUUGUCUUUCGGAUAACUUCACGAAACUGGGGCUAAUACCGGAUAGGAGCUCCUGCUGCAUGGUGGGGGUUGGAAAGUUUCGGCGGUUGGGGAUGGACUCGCGGCUUAUCAGCUUGUUGGUGGAGUAGUGGCUUACCAAGCCUUUGACGGGUAGCCGGCCUGAGAGGGGGGACGGCGACAUUGGGACUGAGAGACGGCCCAGACUGCAACGGGAGGCAGUAGGGGGGAGUCUGGCACAAUGGGCGGAAGCCUGAGGCAGCAACGCCCGGUGCGGGAUGCCGGCCUUCGGGGUGAAAACAGCUUUCGCCUGUGACGAAGCGUGAGUGACGGUAAUGGGUAAAGAAGCACCGGCUAACUACGUG
Molecule: ribosomal RNA, 468 nt
Filed under: uncultured bacterium
Lineage: Bacteria
Description: partial 16S ribosomal RNA
Rfam family: Bacterial small subunit ribosomal RNA
Source: RNAcentral